GGCCCGCACAAGCGGUGGAGCAUGUGGUUUAAUUUGAAGCAACACGCAGAACCUUACCUACCCUUGACAUGCCGGUCGCGAUUUCCAGAGAUGGAUUUCUUCAAUUCGGUUGGACCGUGCACAGGUGCUGCAUGGCUGUCGUCAGCUCGCGUCGUGAGAUGUUGGGUUAAGUCCCGCAACGAGCGCAACCCUCACUGUUAGUUGCCAGCAUUUAGUUGGGCACUCUAGCGGAACUGCCGGUGCUAAGCCGGAGGAAGGUGGGGAUGACGUCAAGUCCUCAUGGCCCUUACGGGUAGGGCUACACACGUGCUACAAUGGCAGUGACAAUGGGUUAAUCCCCAAAAACUGUCUCAGUUCGGAUUGGGGUCUGCAACUCGACCCCAUGAAGUCGGAAUCGCUAGUAAUCGCGUAACAGCAUGACGCGGUGAAUACGUUCCCGGGCCUUGUACACACCGCCCGUCACACCAUGGGAGUUGGUUCUACCCGACGACGCUGCGCUAACCUUCGGGGGGCAGGCGGCCACGGUAGGAUCAGCGACUGGGGUG
RNAcentral lists this ribosomal RNA (545 nucleotides) under uncultured bacterium. RNAcentral describes it as "bacterial SSU rRNA". It matches the Rfam family "Bacterial small subunit ribosomal RNA", at positions 918 to 1482 of the family's 1533-position model. The record is from RNAcentral.